ACUCCUACGGGAGGCAGCAGUGGGGAAUCUUGCGCAAUGGGCGAAAGCCUGACGCAGCAACGCCGCGUGUGUGAUGAAGGCCUUCGGGUUGUAAAGCACUGUCAAGAGGGAAGAACAUUCCGAUGUUAUCGGAACUGACGGUACCUCCAGAGAAAGCUCCGGCUAACUCCGUGCCAGCAGCCGCGGUAAU
RNAcentral lists this ribosomal RNA (190 nucleotides) under uncultured soil bacterium. RNAcentral's name for it is "partial 16S ribosomal RNA". It matches the Rfam family "Bacterial small subunit ribosomal RNA", at positions 335 to 524 of the family's 1533-position model. The record is from RNAcentral.